CUGGGAAGCCCCGGUUUAUUUGUGAUGUCAUGCCUCACAAUCUAGGUCCCUGGGAACAUGGUAUGUAUUUGGCCCUGUAUUUCUUCAUGUUAAAUGUUUUAUAAUAAAGAAAAGCAGGGAGCUGGAAGUUGCUCCAGGGUCAACUGUCUCCCAGGUCACUAAUUACUGUUAGAAAAUCCCAUCUGAAAUGUAUCCUAGUCACUGCUCCUAAUUCUGCUCCUUCAGGAUCCCAUGUGAAAACCCAACUAUUGAUGGCGUCAUCCGAAUUGGCUCCUGCCCUCAGCAGGCUAAUUGUGUAGGCUGGCAACUGCAGAGAGAAACCCACAUCUCCCAGCCACCCCUUCCAUUGCCACCCUCCUCCACCCCUCACCAACCCUUCCGGCCCUUUCAGCAGAUGGCUGCUCACACAGCAUGUUCUUUUCUGUGGAAAAUCCUUAAGAAGCCCAGAGGCAAAGGAUGCUCAAAAAAAUUAUGUUUGCCAGUGGCGUUCUCUUUGCAGACUGUGGACCAGACUCAGUAAGGGAUACUCAGUGGGAGAAAUGAGCUGGGAGUCAUCAGGACAUGUUGCUGAGUUGCUGUGUGACUCUGGGUCAUCCAAGGACAGAAGACUCAGUUUCUUCUCCACUGACUUCCAGAAGCCUCCCACAUUUCCGCUUCCAGACACAUGAAGUUAAGAACAGCUGAUUCAGGACUUCCGUGUUGGUCCAGUGGUUAAGAAUCCGCCUGCCAAUGCAGGAGGCAUGAAUUCAAUCCCUGUUUUGGGAAGAUCCCACAUGCCAUGGAGCAACUAAGCCCGUGUGCCAACAGCUACUGAGCCCAUGCUCUAGAUCCCAUAUACCACAACUACUGAAGCCCUAGAGUGCCCUAGAGCCCAUGAUCCGCAAGAAGAGAAGCCAUUGCCACAAUGAGAAGCCCAAGCACUACAACUAAAGAAAGGCUGCGAGUAGCAAUGAUGACCUAGUGCAGAAGACCAAAUAAAUAAGGAGACCCAAAUAAAUAAAUAAAUGAACAUC
Bos grunniens (domestic yak) is the source of this 1013-nucleotide long non-coding RNA. The record is from Ensembl. NCBI's taxonomy places the organism in Eukaryota, Metazoa, Chordata, Mammalia, Artiodactyla, Bovidae.